UGAAUGUGACAAGUCUCUUCAGUUUCCCAGCUGUGCACAAGGCUCUGAACAUCAGCCAGCAACAAGCAGGGUCCAAGAGUCAGAAAUUUAUCUGAUGAAAAUUAAGUCUUACGUGCCAAAGACAAAACAUACCCUCAGCAUUCCCAGAAGCAAAACAAUCAAAA
Tyto alba (common barn owl) is the source of this 164-nucleotide long non-coding RNA. RefSeq lists it as uncharacterized. Lineage: Eukaryota; Metazoa; Chordata; Aves; Strigiformes; Tytonidae. The record is from RefSeq and is a predicted model, not a curated record. The transcript has 2 exons.